UUUUUUAAAAAUGUUUUAUUCCUUCUUCACAAUCUUUCAUUUCAGCAGCUUUGGUCGAGGAAAAGGAAAAAACAGUUUGGAUCUUGAAGAGGACACGAGAAAAACCCAAUGUGUCAUAUCAAAUUAAUAUUAUAACUGUUUUUUCCUCUGAACCAGAAGACAGGUGGCGCUAAAACAGCUCCCACUGUUGUACAUGGACUCAACCCGAGCGCUGAACGUUAAAUGAAAGCUGGAGAAUCAGACAAGUCAUCCGGUAUGUGAAGCACACGUGUUGACCACCAGGUGUCAGUGUGUCUGUGAAACAGUGGCGUCCAUCUGCAACCUCCCAGAAGUAAAAGCAAAAACAACGGGGGAAGGAUAGGGGGCGCCAAACCCUAAUCUCACCUGCAAAACAGCCGACUCAGUCUGUAACACACAGUGUUAGCAACAGCACCAAACAACAGUCAGCCUUGAUGAAACCCAGCUCUGACUGACUCGCUCUGCCCCUGGUGUCAGCUGACAGCACUGCAGGGUGAUUUGGCUUUCACAGGGACGGGCAGCAUUUACAUGUGGAAAGAAAACUGGUGGAACACAAAGGCAACGUGGCCCCGCCCACCCAGUGCUGUGGGCUCAGAGAGGACCUGCCUUUGAUAAACACACACUGCCAUCAACACGCAAACACACACACACACACACCCCAGCACAGCGUGAUUCAGGAUGACGCCUUGUCAGGUGACGCAGUCGACGUGAGGCCGAGGAGCAAAUAUUGACUCCUGCUGGAUGUUCUGUGGACGUGUUGACUCUUAUAAUGACUGGAUGACAGAAACAAUAGAUGAUGCGGUGCUUUUUCUCACACUACAGCAGAGGUCUUCAAGAGAGGGUUCCGUGACCCCCAGAGGGCCAGAGUAGGCCGUGCACAGGGGUCAUGACUGUUUUUGUUGAUUAGACAGUUUUUUGUUUCGUUUUAAUAUUUUGCACGUGUUUAAAAUCAUCAAUGUGCAAAGCUGUGUAUUUUAAAUAGCUUGGUGUAAACUUUAGCUCCAUCUGUCACUCCUCAUACUCCAUACAAUCCUCAAGUACUUAUCAGCCACACCAGACUUUUUCAUACCACACCGUCGUUUUCAUUCCAUCCUAAAAAUGUCGCAACAUAGGCUAGGCAAGUUUUUACUAAAGUAACAUAAAAAUGUGGGAUAUCAGAAACUUGCAUCUUCUGAGGUGACGUCCUUGUAGCUCGUUAUUCAGCAGCUGUGGUCUCAUUGGCUAGUGAGAUUCCUGCCGCCAGGUGUGAUUAAUGAUGAUUUAUUUUGGACGGCUGAAAUCACACAGUUUGCAGUAACCUUUGACCAUGGGCGUGACAAUGUUCUAGAACCUUCUUCAGAAGUAACAUGGAGACAGUUUUGUACUGAUUUAUAUACAUUUAGCCUCUUUAAAGUACUGUACUGUCCGAGCCGCCGUCUGUCUGUCCGUCUGUCCGUCUGUCCGUCUGUCUGUCUGUUUGUCUGUUCUUUUUCCCAGAACAUGGAGUUGGUCCAGACACCAUGGUUGGUUGGUUUGGUCUGAGGGUGGAUGACCGUGGACCAGUGUGAGGGAGAGUAGUCAAUAUUCAACGACCUUGACCAGUGAAGCAGUUCUGACGGCUGUGACAGAGAAACUGUAACGACCACAUGGUCUGAUGGAAAACCAACGUCAACAGAAAGGAAUCACCGAGAAUCGAAAAAAAUGUUCUCAGAGUUAAUGGUGAAGUUCAGCUGCAGGAAUGAGGUCACGACCUUCAUCAGGGUUCACCAUCUUUGACAUGUGAGCAGUUUCUAAAUGAAGUCCGUUUUCGGGGGCCCUCCUCUAAGAUUUUACCCCAUCAGUCAAGUUUCUGCUUUGCCCUUGGUCUUGCUGCUGUUUCUACACCAUAAUGAAAACUGUCUGCCCAAAGCACCGAUAAAGAUUUUAUUGCCAUCCAUCACUGACGUGUGAGUACGUUUUAAGGAGUGUGUACGUAUGUGUUGUGUCGGAAUGACCUUUUUCUCUCCCCUGUGGUGUGUUACUCUGGGCUUUGGCAUUUCAUUGCCUGGGUAAAUAAUUAAUCACCAACUUUUGAAUAGGUUUGUCUGCAAGCAAAGGAGAGAGGGCAACCGAGGUAGAGGACACAGGAUCUCUUUGUGGGAGAAUAGUAGAAGACAAGUCACAAGGAGUUUGAGGGGAAAAAAAGAGUUUUACGCUUUCACUUUAACUUUCUGACCCCUGUAUACCCCUGAUUUACCUUUCAGUCAAAUCCCUGGGCAAAUUCAAACAAGAAUCAAAGUGGAGAGCACAAUACUGUAGGUAGAUGCAAAUCUCAUCUGAGAAACACACAUUGUAAACAGUGGCUGAAUUAUCGUCCUGCUGUGAAUGCAAUGUUUCACUUAUUAGUGACAUGCAAAUCGUGCAACAAGCACUGGCACUGUGGUGUCACCUCAGUAUGAGUCCUGUCGGCAAACUGUGACACUAUAGACGACUAUAGACUUUAGUCCACAGUAUUCUUAUAAUCAAGAGCAACACUGGGUUUUUCACCCCUGGCUUCUGUCACUUGUACUGCAAAUUACAGCUGAUGAGUUUUUAAUCUCUCGGAUCUUUUGAUCUGAUUUUGAUUUUGAACUGGAUC
Cynoglossus semilaevis (tongue sole) is the source of this 2614-nucleotide long non-coding RNA. RefSeq lists it as uncharacterized. The transcript has 4 exons. The record is from RefSeq and is a predicted model, not a curated record. NCBI's taxonomy places the organism in Eukaryota, Metazoa, Chordata, Actinopteri, Pleuronectiformes, Cynoglossidae.